Long non-coding RNA from Cavia porcellus (domestic guinea pig), 8726 nucleotides. RefSeq lists it as uncharacterized. NCBI's taxonomy places the organism in Eukaryota, Metazoa, Chordata, Mammalia, Rodentia, Caviidae. The transcript has 3 exons. The record is from RefSeq and is a predicted model, not a curated record.
UCCCCUGUCGUGCUGAAGCCCCUCCAUAGUACAGAGACCUCAUGAGGACCCCCUACAGUAGGGCCAGAAGGGGAGCUCUGUGGCCUCAAUUUAAUGGGAAGAUGGGCAAGGCAGAACCAGGCCCCAAGGGGAAGAGGAGAACAGAGCAUCCCUUCACCUCUGCUCUUGACAGGAGUCCUGUCCAGCCCUUCAGAGUCUGUUCAUUGGCCUCAUUGUGGUUUUCAGAGACCACUUGGAAGCAGUUCUUCCUAUGAACGUAGUCACUGCAGGGGAGCUGCCUCAGAUCCAAAGUGAGAGACGUAGCAUGUGACUGUGGUGUCCUCUCACCCUGGCUAACUUGUGUGUGGAAAGCAAAAUUGUGACUUGUGAAAUACUUUCAUCUCCAAGUUGCCAGUGACAUCAUUCUCUCUCUCCCUGAGCAUGGGGCGUCAUUUCAGAAGGAGGCAUUUUGUAGAGUGAACAGGUGUUGGUACAAGCCCAGGCAUAGACUUCAGUUCCAAAGGCCUCUUCUGUAGGUCUGUUCUGGCACACAGCAAGCUCUGCACAACUUUGGAGAUCAUGGCCAGGAGAGGUCUCCUGACAGGCCCCUUGCCAGUUAGAACACUUGUUCCCACUAAGAAAAACUUUUGCCAACACUACCUGUGCAAAUAAACACCUCUGUGACAGCCAUGAGUUCCUCCUUCCUGUACCUGGCAGACCCCAGGGAUGGACAGAGCAUUCCAGACCCCUUCAGUGCCUGAUGGUGAGGCUCCCACAUGUGUGCACCUUGAUGUCACUUGUCAUCAGAGAGGAGGUCCUAGAGCUGGUCAGCAUGUCACAGAUGCUUUCGCGCUGCUACUGGGAAGGAAGUAACAAGGAGGGGCACCAGACAUGGACACAGUAAGUGCUGGGUGUAAACCUAUUGCACAUAGAUAAAUCCUGCAAGCAGCUGCCUAGAAUAUUCUUUAUGUUGGAAAGUAUGAGUUGAAGUCAUUAUCCAAGAUUUUAUAGGCUAUUUCUUGGCUGAGCCCCAGUAAGGCUUAUGGCUUUGCAGGAAGGCAACAUCACAUUUUAUGAAUGACAGAUGGCUUUUAUCACACCUUUGAUGGUCGUUCAUGGUGAGGAGACUUCGAUGCCCGCAGGCAGGGACCAGAGUGGGUGUGGGCAGAGUAGCUCUUCUGGCCUGAAAAGGGGACCUGUUCUGCUCUUAAUUUUCCUAGGAGUCAAGUCCUGGAUGUGGGAACCCUGGUACAGGAUGACUGUGGUGUCCCUGCUGUGCCUGAUGGAUGUGGGACCUCUGUCCCUGCUUGUUCUGUCCCCUCUCCUCAGUUCUGUGGUGUCUGCAUGAAUUUCCUUGGCUAAACCUUACUCUCCCCCAGGAGGCCCGGUGAGCAUAAAUGCUGUGGCCUGAGCUUUCCUCUGGGCUCACAUUAAUCACAGCUCAAAUCUUCACCCAGCAUAGCCUGACUGGCUUUGUAACAGAAUCAGAAAAGGAGGAUUGAUUUGCAGCAUUUGGCCCAGACAACCACAUGUUUAAAGAUUACUGAAAACCAGCAACUCCUCAUCUCUGCUCUACUCCAAAUGGUCAAAGAAGAAAGAUCAGGAGGAUAACCAGGCCACCCGGGGGCAGUGAGGUUCCCUCUUGCAGCAAUUUUGCCACUGAGCAUUGUGAUCAGCACAGAUUCUCACUGAGAGGGGAUUCUGAGUCCCUACCCUCAGUCUUCCCAGGCUGCCCAUGGCAUGGGAUUUCUCUGUCUCUUUAGGUGGGUUCUGCUAAAGCCACUGCCUAUUCUCCAAGGAUUUAACCAUUGCCCAUGCUGGUGCCAGAGCCACUACUCCUGCAAGAACAUGGGGAGGUAAAUUUUCUCAUGGAGCUAGGAGUGGGGGACCCUGGACAGGGCUGUGAAGAGCUGCGUUCUCUUUAGGGAGACACCCUUGCCCAUCCUCAGUUGAUCUGAAGGCCCUAACUUUUGCCUCCAGGAUGGAGAGGUUGGGGAACUGCUUCCCUUCUGGCUCGUUCUCUCUCUUGGUCACCCUAGCACUGUGUCCCAUCUGUUGCACUGGGCUGGGGUUAAGGGUCUGUGGGUACCUGUCUGUCAGACAGAGGGAAAGUGAGGACCUACAGGUUCGAGGAGCACAGCUAUGCAGCAGAUCUGCUGGGUCUUUGGAGAGCCCCAAGUCCCAUGUGCUCAGACCUCUGUGUGGCUCAGAUCCAGUCAUGCAGCCAGUUUCUGUAGGCCACAGGAUGAAGCUGCUCCUGAUGUGUGUGGUGUGGUCUGACACUUGAGGAGGGAAAGGAUACCCAGAGCCCGGUUCCCACAGAGCCCCAGAACCAGGAGGGAAGCCCACACCCAGCUCAGGUAUGUGUUAGAGGAUUGUGACCCAUGGAGGCCAGCAUUGUUCAAGAAACAGGAAAUGAUGCCUGGGCCAGGGACCAUGAGAUUGGACAUGCAGAACGGAGCAGGAAGCAGAUCAGAAGGAAGUUCUGCCAUCAGCUGUAUGUUACCCUCUUCCAUGUGUUACCCAACUGGGGUGGUGAGGCAGAAGGGGGCGCACUCAUGGAAAAGCCUUACUCACAUCAUGUGAUGUCUGCUCAUUAGGCAAUGGCUGUGUGUUGGCCUCCUUCCAAGUGCUGGGACCACGGUGAGGGCCUGUGAAUCCCUGCCAGUGGUGCCCCAUCUGACAGAGGAGGGUAGCAGGGAAAGGGACAGACAGCCACUGAACUGUCUUUCCUGCUGCACCCAUGUAGGUACUGUGAGGUCUCAAAGAUAGCCUGGUGGGAAGGAAAGGCUGUAUGGGAAGAACAGGGAGGCCCAGUACUGAGUGGACAGAACCUCUGUGAUAAAGUUGGAGUCCUAGGAGGAGACUGAGAGCUGGCCGAGGUUACUUCCAAUGGCGGAACAAGCUUGUGUCUCACAUUGCUCCUGUGUGGGAGGGCAGUGAGCAGACCAUUUCAACUGGGUGAUGGGGCAGAAGGGGGUGUACUCAUUGGAAAGUCUUCAGCAGGUUGGUGCAGGAAGGAGGCUGAGAAGCACACCUCAUAUCACCCCUCCUAUCACCCUGUGUCUCCUGCACGGGGCAGCAACCCCUCUGAUGGUGUCCGAGUGUCUAGAUGAGAGAUCUGAAACUCCAAAAGGGAAACCAGCCCUGUUUUACUUUUUCCAUAAAUAAAAUCCCACCUCCUUGCCCAGAGCAGCCCAAGGCCUUCAUCUCAGGACCAAGAAGCAGCCUCAUUCCGGGCAGCACAGGAGAGAAGUUUGCUUCCUGAAGCUGCUGCCAGAAGAUGGCCUGCCUGGCUUCCCAUCAGCCUGGAUCACACUGUCAAUACCUCCUGGGUGACCAACUCUCACCCUACCUGGCCAGUCCUGGCCCUGAGUGGGCUCUCCUGAGCCUGAAAACCUCCCUCAUCGAUUUUUAGGGGCACAUGACAGGAACAGGGUUCCCUCUCUAACCAGGCCUAGGUGAUAGAAACAGGGUUCCUUCCAGUCCACACCCAGGGUGGCCACAGCGUGGCCCCUCUGCGAGUGGGGUAACAUGGGGACAGGAGAGACAUCUUACUGUUGGUUGUAGCCUCCCCCGCAGUGGCCACCUCCAGCAGAGCAGACCUGAUACUGUGCUGUGGCCUCCCCAGGAGAGCCAAGGAUAACAGUUUUCUUUGGUACCAUGUGAAAUUAGCACUUUGGGGGUUCACUAAGGGACCAGCAAAGGCCAUGCCUCAGUGUUCUGGACUAAGAGAUCCUGGGGCCCAACCUAGAAGGCACAGACAGGCAUAGGGUACAGGUAACAGACACCCUGAGCAGGACCAGGCAGGGAUGGGUGGUGAGGGUGAGGGAGGGGAUUUUAGGGAAGGACAAUUCCCAUCCCCUCAGCCCCAGCCUUAGGAAACCAGGGCUUCUAGAAAGAUCUGUGAGGCCAGAGUGUCAUCAGAAACAUACCACAUCGAUCCCUGUAGUUCUGCCUCUUCAUGCAGAACGACAAACAGGUCCAGCCCCACUGCCCUAUCCAAAGGCAUAAAGUUCCUCACCACCAUGCCACAGAUGGGCCCCCAUGCCCACAGGUGCCAAGAUUGAAGGGUGUUUCCAGUCCGUUACUACUCAGACUCUAAAUAAGACCAAAGGGGAAGUAGAGAAUCUGGAGCCAGGAGACAGAGAUGGCCCGGUGUUACAGUGAUGCCAGUGCAGGGUUACACUUCCCAGAAGUUCUAUAAUUGUGUUCCUGGUGCCCCUGCCCAGUGCUCGAUUGGGAGCCUUGCCCACCGUUCUCACUCUGCAGAUGGACCUGGGGUCCUGGAGCCUGCACAGAGGCUGGGCCCAUCCAGGCCACAGCAUAGAUCCAUAAGCCUCCUCCACAUGGACUGGGCACAGCAACAAAGUCAACUAGAGGCCAACGAAGGCCCAGGCCUCACUGGAGCUCUCAUUCUUGGGGAAUCAUUUCCAGAUCCAGCAGUGAGCAGAGGUUUCACUUUCCACAGCUCUGACACUGGACAUUGGUGUUGCCCCAUGAUGUGGAUAUGCAGAAAUUGAGGAACAGAGCUGCAGACCAGGGCCUGGAGCCAGCCUGAGCUAUCAACCAGAGAGGGUACUGCUGGUGAUCCAGGGGCAAAGCAAGAAUCUAGGCUACAGCUGCAGUGUUCCUGGAGGCAGCUGGAUCUCAAGGUGAACGGAUUCCUGAAAGCCCCAACUGCGAGAGGCAGGAAUAUUCCAGUGCUGGACUCCUCCUGUCCAUCCUGGGAGCCUGGGAGCCUGACACUGCAGGCAGCAGUAUCUGUUGUCCAUCUCCCUUGAUCCUGCCCCAUGUGGUCACAGGCCUGUUCCUCUGCAGGCAGAAUGUAUAAACAAGUGCAGGAAACAACUCUCAUGUCACUCCCCAAACACUACAUGUUGAUUGGUGGGUAGAGGAGGCAGUGAUCCUUCCUUGGACGCCAUGUCCUGCUCAUCUGCUCUGCUAGAGUCCAGGAGAAUGGGGUAUAGGUGGGGAUCCCCUGAGCUCCUCUCAGGUGGGCAAAGCCAGAGGGGCUCCCAGGGAAUCUGGACAGCUGGAGAAGCCACUGGCUGAGUCCCUGCACUUCCCGCUGCACCUCCCAACUACUCCACAUCACCAGGAUCAAGAAGAGUCACUGCCAUGCAAGGGCCCCCACAGACACGGACACUUCUUGAUUCUUAUAGGGCCUGUGGCAGGGCCAAGCAGCCUCCAGGAUUUGGUCCCGGAGCAGCAGCAGCCCAGUGGUAGUGACUGUACCACACAGUCCCUCACAGCCCCUACGAUUCUCCGUCUUUCUCCUGAAUUUGCCUUUCUGGGAUUCCUGCUCUCAGGACACCUGCAUGACAGCAGGAGUAGAGCAGCAUGCCUGUGGACCCUCACGGGCCAGGAACAUCUCUGUCACACUUCAGGUGGUGGCUGUUUGUCACCAGAGCUUCCAACGGGAUAGGAGAGAUGUGUGGAGGGAAGGGGCAGGAGCUGAGCUGUCCAGCUAGGGCUGCAGUGGGCUGGAUGGCUGCAGCUUAGAGCAGCCUCAGACAUAUGCAAGGGAUGAGGGAGGCUGAGUCCCAACAAAACUUUACUUACAGACUCCGAAUUUCAUAUAAUUGUUCACAUGUCAUGAAUAUUUUCUUCAUUUUCCCCAACCAUUUAAAAAUACACAAAUCGUUUCUGUCUUUCUGGUAAACAAAGAUGGAAGCAGAAUUGGGCCUUGGAACUGCAGCUUGCCUUUGGGGUUUCUUUUUAAAGGCACAGUUUUUGUUUCGUGUUUUGAGACCUUCCUGGGUUUUCCAGGCUGGCCUCAAAUUCCUGGUCUCAAAUAAACUUCCUGCCUCAUCCUUUCCGAGUAAUUGGACUACAGGUAUGCAAUACCACGCCUGGCUGAAACAUUUUUUGUUGUUUGCUUUUUUAAUUUUAUAAGUAUAGAUUUUAAAAUCACGUCUCAUUUUUUACUGUUUUUUCAAGUCAACUGUGUAAUAGUAGGAUCUGUACAUGCAAUAUGGUUCAGAAUUUAUAAAUUCCUUCCUGGAAUUCUGGGCCAGCCCAGGUCAGACUGGACCUGGCAGAGUGGUAGCCCCCAAAACUGCACCUAGCCUGACCAGUCUUUCUCUGUAGCCCUCUUUUCUAGCUUUUCCCCUAGGCCAGGAUGGUAUGUAUGAGGGGGCUUCUUGGAAUCUUUCAGGGUCCUAAGGGUGGUCAUCAUCAAGGACCAGGCCCAGGACAUAUGUGAGGAGUGUCAAUAUCCAGGCCAAACUUGUCCCCAUCUGGUGGUUAUAUGAAGCACAGGGGUGUCCCUUAGGCCAGGACUAACGAGACAGCUGUACCCAGGGACAGAAGACAGUUUAAGGGUACCAAUUCGGGCCUCCUUGGACCUUCUGCUGUGGGUGAUGGUGGGUGAAUGUUUGUUCCCUGGGACCUGUCCUGCCACCUCCCUCUCCAACAAUCAGACCUCUGCCCUGGCAUGUGGUAUGUCUGACUCUCCAGGCUGAGUGUCCCCACACCCAGUGUGGACAGCUCUGGGUCAGCCUCCCUAAGUUGGCCACUCUAUUGAGAAGCUCAGGUUACUAUACUGUCUGAGGGGCCAUUGACUUGGUGCGAACAUUUUAAAAUACUGGAUUGCAGAAACCCUACAAUAUGGUUUGCUUCUGACCACUAGAAAGUGAAAAACCAUAAAAGCCACAGUUGCUGAAAUCCUGUACCAGAGAGCUCUGUGAAAGAGGGUGCAGCGGGAGCCUUGAAAGACCCUUGUCUGACCACACAAGGUUCUAGGGACCAAAGAAUGUAAUUUAAACUGGACACCAGCCCAAUCUUGCCUUCAUCUAUCUUUCCUGGAGAACUCCUACAAAUCCUUCAGAAACGUCCUCAAAAUGCUGUGGACCUCCGAGUCCUCAUUGAUGGGUAUGUUUCUCCUUGCUCCAGGGUGGCCUUGGCACAGCAGGAUGCCCCCGUCUGACCACAUCCUCCCAUGUAGGCCCUGGGCCCAGUCCACAACCAAACAUUUGGUGGGAACCUUGGCUUGUCCUCCCUCAGCCUGGUUGCCUGCCUCUGUGUAUGUGAAGGCUUCUGAGCCCUUUGUGAGCUUGGCCCAGGAGCCUCAAGUCACCUUGGCAUGGUUUCUCUCUCCACCACAGGGGCAGUUGUGUGGAAAUGACCUUUUGUCUCAACCAAAUACCACCACAGAGACCCACCCAGCUGCCACUUCCUGUUGCUGUGGCUUCAUAGGGGACAAAAGUCUGUAGGAACAGAGCCUGGAGUCCAGGGCCAGGAAAGUCAGCAUAGGGCAGGACUGGCCUGAAUGGGCAGGCAGCGGCUAUAACAGUUACAUCUGACGUCUGCCAGAAUCUGGCAGGCAUGCACAUGCCAUGCAUACAUACGCAUGUGCAGAAGGGACCUGUGAGCUCCAUGUAUGCACAUGCAGAAGGCACGUAUGUUUUCAUGUAUCUGUGCAAACACUGGCCUAUAUAUGCUUGUGUGUACAGGUACACACAGCCAGGCACACACCUUUCUACAGGAACUGCUGUGCCAUCUUGGGAGUACACUCAGACAGAGACAGAGAGGUGGGACCGGCAGAAAGCAAGCAACGGUUCAGCACUGGGGACUGAUCCAGCCCCCAAGCUGGGGCAGGGUGUAGAAAUUAAACAGCCCAUCUCCACUACACUGCCAGAAGCUCACAUGGCAGGGUUCCCGGCUGGCUGGCUGGCAGCUGACUGGCCUGGGCUCCCUCUUCAUCCUCUACCUCCUGCCUGCCCCUCCUUACCCUUGUUUUUUCUCCAAGACUAACUUGCAACAAAAUCCUUUAGUCUAUUUUCUCUCGACUGUGUGGAACACCUGGUCAGGACAAAUGGGUGAUGCAUUAGCACCUAAAGCUAGACACACAGCCAAGAUCCUUGAGCUGCACCCUGGGUUUUAAAGAAAUCAAAUUCCAAGUCCAGAGACUUGAAGCUUCUGGAGGGAAGGCAGUGUCUCAGCAACCCUGUUCCAGACAGUGGGUAUCAGUAUCACUGAGGACACCUGCCUCCCUAGGACCUUCGGGGCUCCGGUAGAACCUGGAGCAGCAGGUGGCAGGGUUGUAUUAGGGGAGAAAAACAAGGAACCACGCCCUGAGCCCUCCAAGAGGGAAAGUGCCUUUGGAGAUGCUAAGGUCCUUCUCUCCUUGCAUCUUCAUCUUGUAUGGGGGGGGGGAUGUAAGGAGAGGAGGGUGAGGUGAGUGUGUGGGCUGGAUCUGCAGCAGCCAGAUGCUGAGAUCCAUCCACCCUCCUGGUCCCACCCUGCUAUGCCUUCUUGAGACAUCAGGAAAGGUACACACAGGCCUUCCAAGGAAGCUGGAGCCCCUGACAGGGGACUAUACAGUUCAGGGAGCAGGUAGCUGGAGGUCCCACUGCCCAGUACAUGCUCAGAGGGCUGAGCACUGUGGUGCCUGCCAGCAGGCAAGCUCUGUGGGUUGUGGGGUCCUCAAAGCAGCCCACAGCACUGCCAGGCAGCAUGUGCAGGGCCCGGUGCCCAGAAGACCUGGCAAAGCUAUUAGGCCUGAAGUGCCUUUCCAGCAUUAAAAAAAAAAAAAAAAAGCCAGAAACUUUUUCUCUAGGCCAAGGAUAAAUUAGCUAAGGACAAAUGCAGCGCGAUGAUCAUUUAUCACCGCCAGCCCGGGAGGAUCCUGGGAGCCCGUCCUGGCCUGUGACUCAAGGUCAGAAGCCUUGCUUCCCUCAUUAUUUCUAUUUUUAACAAUUGUGUUCAGGCCUUCUGCAAAAAUAGCAAAAGGUGAGACCAUU